AUUGAACGCUGGCGGCAGGCCUAACACAUGCAAGUCGAGCGGAUGAAGGGAGCUUGCUCCUGGAUUCAGCGGCGGACGGGUGAGUAAUGCCUAGGAAUCUGCCUGGUAGUGGGGGAUAACGUCCGGAAACGGGCGCUAAUACCGCAUACGUCCUGAGGGAGAAAGUGGGGGAUCUUCGGACCUCACGCUAUCAGAUGAGCCUAGGUCGGAUUAGCUAGUUGGUGGGGUAAAGGCCUACCAAGGCGACGAUCCGUAACUGGUCUGAGAGGAUGAUCAGUCGCACUGGAACUGAGACACGGUCCAGACUCCUACGGGAGGCAGCAGUGGGGAAUAUUGGACAAUGGGCGAAAGCCUGAUCCAGCCAUGCCGCGUGUGUGAAGAAGGUCUUCGGAUUGUAAAGCACUUUAAGUUGGGAGGAAGGGCAGUAAGUUAAUACCUUGCUGUUUUGACGUUACCAACAGAAUAAGCACCGGCUAACUCCGUG
This 484-nucleotide ribosomal RNA is filed under the name uncultured bacterium. RNAcentral describes it as "partial 16S ribosomal RNA". It matches the Rfam family "Bacterial small subunit ribosomal RNA", at positions 30 to 507 of the family's 1533-position model. The record is from RNAcentral.